CCUACGGGAGGCUGCAGUGAGGAAUAUUGGUCAAUGGGCGGGAGCCUGAACCAGCCAAGCCGCGUGAGGGAAGAAGGUACAGCGUAUCGUAAACCUCUUUUGUCAGGGAACAAAGGCGGGGACUAGUCCCCGGAUGAGGGUACCUGAAGAAAAAGCAUCGGCUAACUCCGUGCCAGCAGCCGCGGUAAUACGGAGGAUGCGAGCGUUAUCCGGAUUUAUUGGGUUUAAAGGGUGCGCAGUCGGCCUGUUAAGUCAGUGGUAAAAGCCGGGGGCUCAACCCCGGAGAGCCGUUGAAACUGGUAGUCUUGAGUGAGGUAGAAGUAUGCGGAAUGCGUGGUGUAGCGGUGAAAUGCAUAGAUAUCACGAAGAACUCCGAUUGCGAAGGCAGCUUACUAAACUGCCACUGACAUUGAUGCUCGAAAGUGUGGGUAUCAAACAGGAUUAGAUACCCGUGUAGUC
RNAcentral lists this ribosomal RNA (459 nucleotides) under uncultured bacterium. Its description in RNAcentral is "partial 16S ribosomal RNA". It matches the Rfam family "Bacterial small subunit ribosomal RNA", at positions 338 to 795 of the family's 1533-position model. The record is from RNAcentral.